This 1655-nucleotide ribosomal RNA is filed under the name Clostridioides difficile DA00149. RNAcentral's name for it is "bacterial LSU rRNA". It matches the Rfam family "Bacterial large subunit ribosomal RNA", at positions 1255 to 2925 of the family's 2925-position model. Lineage: Bacteria; Bacillati; Bacillota; Clostridia; Peptostreptococcales; Peptostreptococcaceae. The record is from RNAcentral.
GCAUGACCGUAAGGACAUGUGGACAGUAUGGGAGUGAGAAUGUUGGCAUGAGUAGCGAGAUGUGGGUGAGAAUCCCACAGGCCGUAAACCCAAGGUUUCCAGGGGAAGGUUCGUCCGCCCUGGGUUAGUCGGGACCUAAGCUGAGGCCGAAAGGCGUAGGUGAUGGACAACAGGUUGAUAUUCCUGUACUACCGAUAACCGUUUGAGAGAAGGGAUGACACAGUAGGAUAAGCUAAGCACACUGUUGGUUAUGUGUGCCCAAGCAUUGAGGCAGUCAAAGUAGGCAAAUCCGCUUUGAUAAUGCUGGGAUGUGAUGGGGAGCGAAAUUUAGUAGCGAAGUAGCUGAUUUCACACUGUCAAGAAAAGUCUCUAUCGAGGUUAAAGGUACCCGUACCGCAAACCGACACAGGUGGGUGAGGAGAGUAUCCUAAGGCCAGCGAGAGAACUGUUGUUAAGGAACUCGGCAAAAUGACCCCGUAACUUAGGGAUAAGGGGUGCCACCAUCAGGUGGCCGCAGAGAAUAGGCCCAAGCGACUGUUUACCAAAAACAUAGGUUUCUGCUAAGUCGCAAGACGAUGUAUAGGAGCUGACGCCUGCCCGGUGCUGGAAGGUUAAGGGGAUCUGUUAGAGCAAUCGAAGCAGUGAACUUAAGCCCCAGUAAACGGCGGCCGUAACUAUAACGGUCCUAAGGUAGCGAAAUUCCUUGUCGGGUAAGUUCCGACCCGCACGAAAGGCGUAACGAUUUGGGCACUGUCUCAACAACAGACUCGGUGAAAUUGUAAUUCCGGUGAAGAUGCCGGAUACCUGCGACAGGACGGAAAGACCCCAUGGAGCUUUACUGUAGCUUGACAUUGGGUCUUGGUACUACAUGUACAGGAUAGGUGGGAGGCUUUGAAACCAGGACGCCAGUUUUGGCGGAGCCAUCCUUGGGAUACCACCCUUGUAGUACUGGGACUCUAACCAUAGGCCAUGAAUCUGGUCUUGGGACACUGUCAGGUGGGCAGUUUGACUGGGGCGGUCGCCUCCCAAAAGGUAACGGAGGCGCUCAAAGGUUCUCUCAGUACGGUCGGAAAUCGUACGUAGAGUGUAAAGGCAAAAGAGAGCUUGAUUGCAAGACAUACAGGUCGAGCAAGGAUGAAAAUCGGACUUAGUGAUCCGGUGGUUCUGCGUGGAAGGGCCAUCGCUCAACGGAUAAAAGCUACCCUGGGGAUAACAGGCUUAUCUCCCCCAAGAGUCCACAUCGACGGGGAGGUUUGGCACCUCGAUGUCGGCUCAUCACAUCCUGGGGCUGUAGUAGGUCCCAAGGGUUGGGCUGUUCGCCCAUUAAAGUGGUACGCGAGCUGGGUUCAGAACGUCGUGAGACAGUUCGGUCCCUAUCCGUCGCAGGCGUAGGAAAUUUGAGAAGACCUGUCCUUAGUACGAGAGGACCGGGAUGGACGUACCUCUGGUGUACCAGUUGUCUGCCAAGGGCAUGGCUGGGUAGCUUGUACGGAAUGGAUAAGCGCUGAAAGCAUCUAAGCGCGAAGCCAACUUCAAGAUAAGAUUUCCCACCGCAAGGGUAAGACCCCAGAAAGACUAUCUGGUUGAUAGGUCGAAGGUGUAAGUGCAGCAAUGUAUUUAGCUUAUCGAUACUAAUAGGUCGAGGACUUGACCAA